AAUAGAUACCCAGGUAGUCCACGCCGUAAACGAUGAGUGCUAAGUGUUAGAGGGUUUCCGCCCUUUAGUGCUGCAGCUAACGCAUUAAGCACUCCGCCUGGGGAGUACGGCCGCAAGGCUGAAACUCAAAGGAAUUGACGGGGGCCCGCACAAGCGGUGGAGCACGUGGUUUAAUUCGAAGCAACGCGAAGAACCUUACCAGGUCUUGACAUCCUCUGCUAACCCUAGAGAUAGGGCGUUCCCCUUCGGGGGACAGAGUGACAGGUGGCGCAUGGUUGUCGUCAGCUCGUGUCGUGAGAUGUUGGGUUAAGUCCCGCAACGAGCGCAACCCUUGACCUUAGUUGCCAGCAUUCAGUUGGGCACUCUAAGGUGACUGCCGGUGACAAACCGGAGGAAGGUGGGGAUGACGUCAAAUCAUCAUGCCCCUUAUGACCUGGGCUACACACGUGCUACAAUGGAUGGUACAAAGGGCUGCGAGACCGCGAGGUUAAGCCAAUCCCAUAAAACCAUUCUCAGUUCGGAUUGCAGG
This 529-nucleotide ribosomal RNA is filed under the name uncultured bacterium. Its description in RNAcentral is "bacterial SSU rRNA". It matches the Rfam family "Bacterial small subunit ribosomal RNA", at positions 777 to 1304 of the family's 1533-position model. The record is from RNAcentral.